RNAcentral lists this ribosomal RNA (344 nucleotides) under uncultured eukaryote. RNAcentral describes it as "SSU rRNA". It matches the Rfam family "Eukaryotic small subunit ribosomal RNA", at positions 567 to 939 of the family's 1831-position model. The record is from RNAcentral.
CCAGCAGCCGCGGUAAUUCCAGCUCCAAUAGCGUAUACCAAUUUUGCUGCAGUUAAAAAGCUCGUAGUUGAACGUGUGGUAGGUGUUGACCGGGCACGCGCCUCGUGCGCUGUGACUUGCGUCGACGCUGGCCAUCCUGGCGAGUUCGCUCGCCUCGUUUACUGUAAAUAAAUCAGGAUGUUUCAAGUAGGCCGUAGUGCCGGAAUGUAGUAGUAUGGAAUAAUAAGAUAGGACUCUUGGUCUAUUUUGUUGGUUUGCAACUGAGAGUAAUGAUGAAUAGGGACAGUUGGGGGUAUUCGUAUUUAGAUGUCAGAGGUGAAAUUCUUGGAUUUUCGAAAGACGAA